This 253-nucleotide ribosomal RNA is filed under the name uncultured bacterium. Its description in RNAcentral is "partial 16S ribosomal RNA". It matches the Rfam family "Bacterial small subunit ribosomal RNA", at positions 524 to 776 of the family's 1533-position model. The record is from RNAcentral.
UACGGGGGGGGCAAGCGUUGUUCGGAAUUACUGGGCGUAAAGGGCGCGUAGGCGGCCUGCUAAGUCGGAUGUGAAAUCCCUCGGCUCAACCGAGGAACUGCAUCCGAUACUGGCGGGCUUGAAUCCGGGAGAGGGAUGUGGAAUUCCAGGUGUAGCGGUGAAAUGCGUAGAGAUCGGGAGGAACACCGGUGGCGAAGGCGGGUCUCUGGGCAAUUCCUGACGCUGAGGCGCGAAAGCGUGGGGAGCAAACGGG